UCCGGUUUGUCACCGGCAGUCUCCCUAGAGUUCUCAGCCGAACUGCUAGCAACUAGGGAUAGGGGUUGCGCUCGUUACGGGACUUAACCCAACACCUCACGGCACGAGCUGACGACAGCCAUGCAGCACCUGUGCUGGCCCCUUACGGACACGGGCUUUCACCCGCUUUAACCAGCAUGUCAAGCCUAGGUAAGGUUCUUCGCGUUGCAUCGAAUUAAGCCACAUGCUCCGCCGCUUGUGCGGGUCCCCGUCAAUUCCUUUGAGUUUUAGUCUUGCGACCGUACUUCCCAGGCGGAGAACUUAAUGCGUUAGCUACGGCACCGCGGGGGUCAACACCCGCGACAUCUAGUUCUCAUCGUUUACGGCGUGGACUAC
RNAcentral lists this unclassified non-coding RNA (375 nucleotides) under uncultured bacterium. Its description in RNAcentral is "contains 16S-23S intergenic spacer region". The record is from RNAcentral.